AGUUGCAUCUAGUUCGUCGAGGUGAUAGAUUUUUUAUGCCAUCUGCAUGUUAUUCACUAUUUGACGAGGAAAAAAAUUUUUUUAUGGAUGGUUUAGAAUCGUAAAGUUUCCUGACGUAUACACUUUAAAUGUAUCGUGGUGUGUUGGAAACAACGACAGUAAUGUCUCUGACAUGAAAAGUCAUGACUCUCAUGUGAUGAUGCAAUGCUUGCUUCCUAUGGUCAUCCA
This 228-nucleotide long non-coding RNA is filed under the name Elaeis guineensis (African oil palm). Its description in RNAcentral is "long non-coding RNA (EGUI_LNC078625)". Lineage: Eukaryota; Viridiplantae; Streptophyta; Magnoliopsida; Arecales; Arecaceae. The record is from RNAcentral.